CGUGAGGGAAAGGUGAAAAGAACCCCGGGAGGGGAGUGAAAUAGAACCUGAAACCCUGCACUUACAAGCUGUAGGAGCACAUUUCUUGUGUGACUGCGUACUUUUUGUAGAACGGGCCAACGAGUUACGUUGUGUAGCAAGGUUAAGCACUUAAGGUGUGGAGCCGUAGCGAAAGCGAGUCUUAAAUGGGCGUCUAGUUACCCGACGUAGACCCGAAACCAGGCGACCUAUCCAUGAGCAGGUUGAAGCGAAAGUAAAAUUUCGUGGAGGACCGAACCCACGUACGUUGAAAAGUGCGGGGAUGACUUGUGGAUAGCGGUGAAAUUCCAAUCGAGCCUGGAGAUAGCUGGUUCUCCCCGAAAUAGCUUUAGGGCUAGCCUCAAGAUUAGAGAAGCGGAGGUAGAGCACUGAAUGUCCUAGGGGGUAUUGCACUUACCGAAGACUAUCAAACUCCGAAUGCCGUAUUCUUUUGCUUGGGAGUCAGACUAUGGGUGAUAAGAUUCAUAGUCAAGAGGGCAACAGCCCAGAUCGUCAGCUAAGGUCCCUAAAUGUAAGUUAAGUGGUAAAGGAUGUGGAAUUGCACAGACAACCAGGAUGUUGGCUUAGAAGCAGCCACUCAUUUAAAGAGUGCGUAAUAGCUCACUGGUCGAGUGAUUCUGCGCCGAAAAUUUCCGGGGCUAAAACUUACUACCGAAGCUACGGCAUCAUUAUGAUGGGUAGGGGAGCUUUCUAUACGGGUUGAAGCAUGACCGUAAGGACAUGUGGACUGUAUAGAAGUGAGAAUGUUGGCAUGAGUAGCGAGAUGUGGGUGAGAAUCCCACAGGCCGUAAACCCAAGGUUUCCAGGGGAAGGUUCGUCCGCCCUGGGUUAGUCAGGACCUAAGCCGAGGCCGAAAGGCGUAGGUGAUGGACAACAGGUUGAUAUUCCUGUACCACCAAUAACCGUUUGAGAAAUGGGAUGACACAGUAGGAUAAGCUAACCGCACUGUUGGUUAUGUGCGGGCAAGUAUUGAGGCAGUUCCGAUAGGCAAAUCCGUCGGAAUAAUGCUGGGGUACGAUGCGGAGCGAAAUUAAGUAGCGAAGUAGCUGAUUUCACACUGUCGAGAAAAGUCUCUAUCGAGGUUAAAGGUGCCUGUACCGCAAACCGACACAGGUGGGUGAGGAGAGUAUCCUAAGGCCAGCGAGAGAACUGUUGUUAAGGAACUCGGCAAAAUGACCCCGUAACUUAGGGAGAAGGGGUGCCUUCGAAAGAAGGCCGCAGAGAAUAGGCCCAAGCGACUGUUUACCAAAAACAUAGGUUUCUGCUAAGUCGCAAGACGAUGUAUAGGAGCUGACGCCUGCCCGGUGCUGGAAGGUUAAGGGGAUCUGUUAGAGCAAUCGAAGCAGUGAACUUAAGCCCCAGUAAACGGCGGCCGUAACUAUAACGGUCCUAAGGUAGCGAAAUUCCUUGUCGGGUAAGUUCCGACCCGCACGAAAGGCGUAACGAUUUGGGCACUGUCUCAACAACAGACUCGGUGAAAUUGUAAUACCGGUGAAGAUGCCGGUUACCUGCGACAGGACGGAAAGACCCCAUGGAGCUUUACUGUAGCUUGACAUUGAGUCUCGGUGCUACAUGUACAGGAUAGGUGGGAGACUAUGAAGCAUGGACGUCAGUCUGUGUGGAGUCAUCCUUGGGAUACCACCCUUGUAGUACUGGGAUUCUAACCAGAGGCCAUGAAUCUGGUCUUGGGACACUGUCAGGUGGACAGUUUGACUGGGGCGGUCGCCUCCCAAAAAGUAACGGAGGCGCUCAAAGGUUCUCUCAGUACGGUCGGAAAUCGUACGAAGAGUGUAAAGGCAAAAGAGAGCUUGAUUGCAAGACAUACAGGUCGAGCAAGGACGAAAGUCGGACUUAGUGAUCCGGUGGUUCCGCAUGGAAGGGCCAUCGCUCAACGGAUAAAAGCUACCCUGGGGAUAACAGGCU
This 1962-nucleotide ribosomal RNA is filed under the name human gut metagenome. RNAcentral describes it as "bacterial LSU rRNA". It matches the Rfam family "Bacterial large subunit ribosomal RNA", at positions 502 to 2483 of the family's 2925-position model. The record is from RNAcentral.